Molecule: unclassified non-coding RNA, 300 nt
Filed under: plant metagenome
Description: partial contains 5.8S ribosomal RNA, internal transcribed spacer 2, and large subunit ribosomal RNA
Rfam family: 5.8S ribosomal RNA (bases 1-106)
Source: RNAcentral
GAAAUGCGAUAAGUAAUGUGAAUUGCAGAAUUCAGUGAAUCAUCGAAUCUUUGAACGCACAUUGCGCCCCCUGGUAUUCCGGGGGGGCAUGCCUGUUCGAGCGUCAUUUCACCACUCAAGCCUCGCUUGGUAUUGGGCGACGCGGUCCGCCGCGCGCCUCAAAUCGACCGGCUGGGUCUUCCGUCCCCUCAGCGUUGUGGAAACUAUUCGCUAAAGGGUGCCGCGGGAGGUCACGCCGCAAAACAACCCCAUUUCUAAGGUUGACCUCGGAUCAGGUAGGGAUACCCGCUGAACUUAAGC